GUUCGUUUGGUGGAAUUGGUAGACACGCAAGACUUAAAAUCUUGUUUCUUUAUGAAGUGUAGGUUCAAGCCCUACAACGAAC
This 82-nucleotide transfer RNA is filed under the name Leucocryptos marina. RNAcentral describes it as "tRNA-Leu". It matches the Rfam family "tRNA". Rfam says of the family: Transfer RNA (tRNA) molecules are approximately 80 nucleotides in length. Their secondary structure includes four short double-helical elements and three loops (D, anti-codon, and T loops). Lineage: Eukaryota; Cryptophyceae; Kathablepharidacea; Katablepharidaceae. The record is from RNAcentral.